Molecule: ribosomal RNA, 422 nt
Filed under: uncultured bacterium
Lineage: Bacteria
Description: bacterial SSU rRNA
Rfam family: Bacterial small subunit ribosomal RNA
Source: RNAcentral
AAUUCGACGCAAAGCGAAAAACCUACACCAACGGUUUGACAUACCAAUCGUAUCCCUAAGAACUAGGGAGUCAGUUCGGCUGGAUUGGAUACAGGUGUUGCAUGGCUGUCGUCAGCUCGUGUCGUGAGAUGUCGGGCUAAGUCCUUUAACGAGCGCAACCCUCAUUGCAUGUAAUUUUUCAUGCGAGACUGCCCUGGUUAACAGGGAGGAAGGUGGGGAUGACGUCAAGUCAGCAUGGCCCUUACACCUUGGGCUACACACGUGUUACAAUGGCCGGUACAAUAAGUCGCAAUACCGUAAGGUGGAGCUAAUCUAUGAAAACCGGUCCCAGUUCGGAUUGGGGGCUGAAACUCGCCCCCAUGAAGUCGGAAUCGCUAGUAACCGUGAAUCAGCACGUCACAGUGAAUACGUUCCCGGGUCUU